RNAcentral lists this ribosomal RNA (274 nucleotides) under uncultured bacterium. Its description in RNAcentral is "partial 16S ribosomal RNA". It matches the Rfam family "Bacterial small subunit ribosomal RNA", at positions 523 to 796 of the family's 1533-position model. The record is from RNAcentral.
AGACGGAGGGGGCUAGCGUUGUUCGGAAUUACUGGGCGUAAAGCGCGCGUAGGCGGACCAUCAAGUUGGGCGUGAAAGCCCUGGGCUCAACCCAGGAAUUGCGCUCGAAACUGGUGGACUAGAGUCCGGGAGAGGAUAGUGGAAUUCCCAGUGUAGAGGUGAAAUUCGUAGAUAUUGGGAAGAACACCAGUGGCGAAGGCGGCUAUCUGGACCGGUACUGACGCUGAGGUGCGAAAGCGUGGGGAGCAAACAGGAUUAGAAACCCGGGUAGUCC